CCAAUGGCACUGCCCGGUAGCUAAAUGCGGAAGAGAUAAGUGCUGAAAGCAUCUAAGCACGAAACUUGCCCCGAGAUGAGUUCUCCCUGAGACUUUAGGUCUCCUGAAGGAACGUUGAAGACGACGACGUUGAUAGGCCGGGUGUGUAAGCGCAGCGAUGCGUUGAGCUAACCGGUACUAAUGAACCGUGAGGCUUAACCUU
Molecule: ribosomal RNA, 202 nt
Filed under: Salmonella enterica subsp. enterica serovar Oranienburg
Lineage: Bacteria; Pseudomonadati; Pseudomonadota; Gammaproteobacteria; Enterobacterales; Enterobacteriaceae
Also listed under: 3 other names
Description: partial 23S ribosomal RNA
Rfam family: Bacterial large subunit ribosomal RNA
Source: RNAcentral